This 293-nucleotide long non-coding RNA is filed under the name Elaeis guineensis (African oil palm). RNAcentral describes it as "long non-coding RNA (EGUI_LNC039003)". Lineage: Eukaryota; Viridiplantae; Streptophyta; Magnoliopsida; Arecales; Arecaceae. The record is from RNAcentral.
UAACUUAUUUGGUUCAAUUAGGUUGGUUUAAAUAAUGAAAUCACCUUGACCCAUUCUCCCUGCGCCACCUCACUUCCACUGUGCCCAUUUGAAUUCACGAGAAGAAAGUUCUCAUAAAUUUUUCCUCACGCCCUACUUUAAUGUGCCAAAUGAGUGGAUAAGGAUGAUUGGUUGGCCAUUCAAAUUCAAAACAAAGUUUGAAUUUGAAUGAGCAACCAAUCUUAGCGCCUUGACCUUAUCUUCUUUUAGUGCCCCAUUUAUUAUACGAGAAAAUGUUUCUCAUGAAAUCACUC